RNAcentral lists this small RNA (96 nucleotides) under Salmonella enterica subsp. enterica serovar Heidelberg. RNAcentral's name for it is "partial RtT sRNA". It matches the Rfam family "RtT RNA", at positions 36 to 130 of the family's 130-position model. From Rfam's summary of the family: This family represents a bacterial cis-regulatory element known as RtT RNA. The exact function of RtT is unknown although it is thought that it may be involved in changing the cellular response in relation to amino acid starvation. RNAcentral also lists the same sequence under 13 other names. Lineage: Bacteria; Pseudomonadati; Pseudomonadota; Gammaproteobacteria; Enterobacterales; Enterobacteriaceae. The record is from RNAcentral.
CCAAGGUUCGAUUCGAGCGCAGCGAGAAAGCGUUGCCGCAGGCAACGACCCGAAGGGCGAAGCGCGCAGCGCUGAGUCAUCCUUCCCCCACCACCA